This 465-nucleotide ribosomal RNA is filed under the name uncultured bacterium. RNAcentral's name for it is "partial 16S ribosomal RNA". It matches the Rfam family "Bacterial small subunit ribosomal RNA", at positions 28 to 507 of the family's 1533-position model. The record is from RNAcentral.
GACGAACGCUGGCGGCGUGCUUAACACAUGCAAGUCGAACGGAAAGGCCCUGCUUGCAGGGUACUCGAGUGGCGAACGGGUGAGUAACACGUGGGUGAUCUGCCCUGCACUUCGGGAUAAGCCUGGGCGACUGGGUCUAAUACCGGCUAGGAGCCAUUUUUAGUGUGAUGGUUGGAAAGUUUUUUCGGUGUAGGAUGAGCUCGCGGCCUAUCAGCUUGUUGGUGGGGUAAUGGCCUACCAAGGCGGCGACGGGUAGCCGGCCUGAGAGGGUGGACGGCCACCUUGGGACUGAGAGACGGCCCAGACUCCGACGGGAGGCAGAAGGGGGGAAUAUUGCACAAUGGGCGCAAGCCUGAUGAAGCGACGCCGCGUGGGGGAUGACGGCGUUAGGGUUGUAAACUCCUUUCGCUAGGGACGAAGCUUUUUGUGACGGUACCUAGAUAAGAAGCACCGGCUAACUACGUG